RNAcentral lists this ribosomal RNA (465 nucleotides) under uncultured bacterium. RNAcentral describes it as "partial 16S ribosomal RNA". It matches the Rfam family "Bacterial small subunit ribosomal RNA", at positions 28 to 506 of the family's 1533-position model. The record is from RNAcentral.
GAUGAACGCUGGCGGCGUGCUUAACACAUGCAAGUCGAACGAUGAAGCCCAGCUUGCUGGGUGUAUUAGUGGCGAACGGGUGAGUAACACGUGAGUAACCUGCCCUUAACUUUGGGAUAAGCCUGGGCAACUGGGUCUAUUACCGGAUAGGAGCGUCCACCGCAGGGUGGGAGUUGGAAAGAUUUAUCGGUUUUGGAUGGGCUCGCGGCCUAUCAGCUUGUUGGUGAGGUAAUGGCUCACCAAGGCGAGGACGGGUAGCCGGCCUGGGAGGGUGACCGGCCACACUGGGACUGAGACACGGCCCAGACGCCAACGGGGGGCAGGGGUGGGGAAUAUUGCACAAUGGGCGCAAGCGGGAUGCAGCGACGCCGCGUGGGGGAGGACGGCCUUCGGGUGGUAAACCUCUUUCAGUAGGGAAGAAGCGAAAGUGACGGUACCUGCAGAAGAAGCACCGGCUAACUACGU